Macaca mulatta (Rhesus monkey) is the source of this 1128-nucleotide non-coding RNA. NCBI's taxonomy places the organism in Eukaryota, Metazoa, Chordata, Mammalia, Primates, Cercopithecidae. The record is from RefSeq and is a predicted model, not a curated record.
UAGAGACGAGGUUUCACCAUGUUGCCCAGGCUGGUCUUGAACUCCUGGCCUCGGGUGAUCCACCCACCUCGGCCUCCCAAAGUGCUGGGAUAACAGGCGUGAGCCACCGCGCCUGGCCCCAUCUGUGCUUUUAAGCAACAAAUGUACCAGUGGCGAUGGUAGGAGGGAGGGUGAACACUGCCCGCUUUCUGUCCCCAUCUUUGUGAAACUCCUGCUCUUGGGAGGACUGAUGGGUUGACACCCACCUGCAGCACAGGGUACUGGAGGGGAGGUGAAUAGUGGUUAGAACCCGGGCGACUCCGAUGUGCCUUUUCCAUUUCUCCACAUACUCUGUUCUGUCCGACAGAGGGAAGGUUAGGAGGCCGAGCACGGUGACUCCUGCCUAUAACCCCAGCAUUUUGGGAAGCCGAGGCAGGAUCACUUGAGCCCAGGACAUAGAGAACAGCCUAGGUCAAAAGAGUAUCUCCAGAGAACACAAGAGGGAAUACUUGGCUGGUAUCCACAGGAACCACUGAGGACAAAAGAUACCCAGGUCCCCAGACAGGCUCAAAAAUGGCUCUGAGCUAAUGUACAAAGUCCAUCAUCCACAGCACAGAGAAAAGAAAAGGGGCUUUGGAGACUUCUCCUUGUGCAGAAAAGCAGCCACCCAGGAGGACAUCAUGCAUUAGCAGGUGGCUCAUGAGGAUGUUUGUGUUCUUUCAUCAGAAGGAGAGAGGACUCCUGAGAAUUAUUGUACUUCCGGCUUUUAAUUUCUAGAUAAUGAAGACAACAAAGCUUCCUACAGCUAUGAGGUCCUGGCCUGCUCCCUGGGAACAGAGUGGGACCCUGAGGACACUGUUUUCAGUUGAUACAUAAUACCUGGUACAUACUCCUGGGAUAGAGGCCUGCUUCAGAAAAGACCAGGGGAAAUGUACGGUCUUAGUACUGAGAGCAAAUUAAAGCUGGAAGAAACCAUGAAGACGGAGAAGAGCAUUAGCGGCUGACUGUGAAUGAAACUCAAGAAUUCUUACUCUAGCUCUGAGAACAAGUUAGGGGCUGGCAGCUGACUGUGGAGCCCAAUGGCCUGGGUACAAAUUCUGAACAACAUCACUGAGUGGCUGUGUAACCACAGACAAGUCACAUAACCAA